GCCCUUGACCGCAUGGUUUCUGCUGGUCCAAGCAACCUUCUCCUGCCACGCCUAACCUUGGAGAAGCAGUGAUCAAUGGAGGAAGUGUUUCACGGUGGACAUGGGAAACUGGCCAGAUCAACUGCUGUCACCUUCUAAAGACAGGGUUUUGCCAUGUUGCCAGGCUGGUCUCGAACUCCUGGACUCAAGUGAUCUGCCUGCCUCAGCCUCUCAAAGUGCUGGAAUUAUAGGACCCAGACGGGGAGGAGGAAUGCCAGAGAAGCUGCAGACUCCCCAGCCACAGAGCCUGAGUGGAGCAGAGGUGGCCCACUGUCAGCCACAGGUCAAGUGUCAGGGUGGGGACGGGGCAGGCUCCACCAGGAGGCGGGGCCAGACCACAGGGCAAGGUGGAGAUGAGUCUGUGGCACCCCCAGGAAGCUUACCAGAUUUGCCACAGAGCCUCUGACCCUUUGGAUCUCUCUGGGCUGCAUUCUUCAGGGUCACAUUGCUUCUUUCUUGAAGGUGGAAGGAAAUGUUCCCAUCAGAGCCUUCCAACAGG
Molecule: long non-coding RNA, 538 nt
Filed under: Pongo abelii (Sumatran orangutan)
Lineage: Eukaryota; Metazoa; Chordata; Mammalia; Primates; Hominidae
Description: lincRNA
Source: RNAcentral